Molecule: long non-coding RNA, 1724 nt
Organism: Ictalurus punctatus (channel catfish)
Lineage: Eukaryota; Metazoa; Chordata; Actinopteri; Siluriformes; Ictaluridae
Exons: 5
Source: RefSeq, a predicted model, not a curated record
UAAAAACCUGCUCGCGAAAUAAAUAAAUAAAUAAUGCAUCCAAUCACAAUCCUGUGUGUUUCACCAUCAGAGCAAACCUAGCCAAUCUAAAUCCUCCAUGCUUCACACGUGAUAUCACGUUUACCCAAUCACAAUCUUGAAUACGAGAACGGUUAUUUACAUUUCUACCCAUAUUCCGAUGAAUCCCGCCUCCAGCGCUGUGAUUGGUUAACACCGACCCAUUUUUGCGCUCCGAUUGGCUGUUCGGGUUACAUCCUAAUCCUGAAUACGAGUGGAAUAAAAAUAACAACACGUCUGAAUUUGAAGCAGCGAGAUACUCGGUCCAAUCUGUUAAACUCCGGCAACAGUGACGCCCAGAAAAAAGACCAGAACAAAGAAGCAUAAGAAAGAGCGAAAGUAACGCAGAUCGUCAUCGUCCUCCAGCGAGGAUCAGGGGACAGAGAGAGACACAGAAGCAGUCGCAGGGACAAAAACAAGCAUGUGAGCAGGCUUGUUGUUACGACGCUUCUACUGAGUGCACAGAAACCAGUGAUAAUGAUUAUGAGAUGCAGAUAGUUGAGGAGCUGCAUCUGGCUCGCUCCAACAGACAACUGCACGUGAAGGUGGAGAAGAGUUACGGAGAGCUGACCAGCAUGGACGUAGACCCGGCAGACGAGAGCGCCACCAUUGCACUCAGAAAUGUCACCACUGGGUAAAUGGGCGUGCAUGAAAACGUACAAUCGAGUCGAGUUUGAAAAUGAAAUGCAACGCGUUGCAAAUACAGUUGUGCCCAAAAGUUUACACACCCCUUGUUGAAUCUGCAAAAUCUUAAUACUUUUAACAAAAUAAGAUGGAUCAUAAAAAUCCCCUGUUAUUUUUUAUUUAGUACAGUCUUUAAUAAGCGUUUUCACAUGACAGAUGUUUACAUAUAGAUAAUAGCUGAAUUUAUAAAAAUUACCCCGUUCAAAAGUUUACACACGCUUGAUUAUUAAUACUGUGUGUUGUUACCUGGAUGAUCAACGACUGUGUUUGUUUUGUGAUGGUUGUUCACGAGUCCCUUGUUUGUCCUGAGCAGUUAAACUGCCCACUGUUCUUCAGAAAAAUCCUCCAGGUCCUGCACAUUCUUUAGUUUUCCAGCAUCUUCUGCACGUUUGAGCCAUUUACAACAGCAACUAUAUGGUUUAAUAUCCAUCUUUACACACUGAGGACAACUGAGGGACUCGUACACGACUAUUACAGAAGGUGCAAAAGUUCACUGAUUCUCAAGAAGGCAACACGAUACAUUAAGAACCAGGGGGGUGUAAACUAUUGAACAGGAUGAUCGGUGUAAAUCAUUUUUUUGUCUUCUGAGAAACAUGUAAAUAUCUUAUUUAGCUUCUGAAGGGCAGUACUAAAUGAAAAAAUAAGAUCUUCAAACAAAAUAAUAAUAAUUUACACAGAUCAUCCUGUUCAAAAGUUUACCCCCCCCAGCUCUUAAUGUAUUGUUUUUGCCUUCUUGAGCAUCAGGGAAUGCUUGCACCUGAUAUAAUAAGGAGUACGUGAGUAAAAAUGUGUGUGUAUGACUAUGUUUGAGCAUACCGAACUCUACUGGACUCUAUUGUACUCUCUUGCACAAACUAUUAGACCAAAUCAAAAUGUGUCCAUGUAGGCUAGCGCUUUGCUGUUUCAUACGUGUGUGUGUGUGUGUGUGUGUGUGUGUGUGUGUGUGUGUGUGUGUGUGUGUGUGUGUGUGUUUGUGUGUUUGU